RNA transcript from Conger conger (European conger), 3066 nucleotides. It is a transcript of the gene named scavenger receptor cysteine-rich domain-containing protein SCART1-like, with no coding region annotated. The transcript is spliced from 3 exons. NCBI's taxonomy places the organism in Eukaryota, Metazoa, Chordata, Actinopteri, Anguilliformes, Congridae. The record is from RefSeq and is a predicted model, not a curated record.
GUGUGUGGUCGUCGCUGGGACAUGAGUGAUGCUGGGGUGGUGUGCAGACAGCUGGGCUGUGGAGAUGCUGUAGAUGCACUAGGAGAGGCUCACUUUGGACCAGGAUCUGGGAGAAUAUGGAUGGCUUAUGUGGACUGCAGUGGAUCAGAAUCCUCACUGAAGCAGUGUGAGUCACCAGGAUGGGGCAAACAUUCCUGUAAUCAAUCAGAGGAUGCUGGAGUGAUCUGCUCAGAGACACCCCAGGCUGUCUUGACGGUCUCUCCACAUGGGCGGAUAUAUAGAGGACAAGCUGUCAGUCUCUCUUGUGAGGUCACAGUGACCUCUGCUGGCUGGGAAUAUUACUGGUACAAAGGAAAUGGAUCAAGUGGCACUGCCCUCAUUGCCAGUACAGCUGAAGGCUCGUACACCCUCAGUGCUGCAGCUCUUGCACACACCGGGGAGUACAGCUGCAGAGCAGGGAGGAGCAACCCAGUCUGGUACACAGAGUACAGUCACCCUGUCGACAUACAGGUAACAGGUGAGUGCUGGUACACAGAGUACAGUCACCCUGUCCACAUACAGGUAACAGGUGAGUGCUGUUACACAGAGUACAGUCAUCCUGUCCACAUACAGGUAACAGGUGAGUGCUGUUACACAGAGUAGUCACCCUGUCCACAUACAGGUAACAGGUGAGUGCUGUUACACAGAGUACAGUCACCCUGUCCACAUACAGGUAACAGGUGAGUGCUGUUACACAGAGUACAGUCACCCUGUCCACAUUGUAGGGGUCCUCGCACGGGACUCCAAAUUAUGUAGGGUCCUCGCACGGGCCGCCAAAUAACGCAGGGAUUUUACUCUCUACGAAACCAGGGCGCCAGUUAAACGUUGUGUAGCAGUAUAACUGCAAAAAGUAAUCAGUCUCAUAAAAUUACUAUUAUCAGGAAUAUCUAACCACAAAUUUAGUAUUUUAAUUAAUAAUUAAAAUAACCAAUAUUAAUGAUUAAACAUACCGAUAACCUGAAGGUUGGAAGUUCUUCGAAAGACUGCUUUAACUCGGCUCUCAUGUCUAUGCGAUUCCAAAACGGACACCGGGGUUUAAUAAAAUAUAUUUAUUUAUUUAUUAAACACAGAACAGAUAAACUAACGGGAAUUAGUAGGGGAAGUUAGGGUGUGUGUGUGCGUGUGUGUGGGCGCGAGCAAGCGCGCGUGUCGCUUGAACAAAGGAAAGGUGGGAGUAGCUAGCUUGAGUAAGCUAGAGUUCUGGGUGUGGUAAUGAGUUAGAGUUAGCUGUGAGAAGGGACUACUUGCGUAGUUUUGCUCUAUAUAUGCGCAAAAGACGGCGAAUCAAUUCACGUACAUAUAUAUGUAGCUAACCAAACACAUUACAAUGGUAGGAUGGUAAAUAUUGAAACACAGAUUCACAAAAACAGUUAAGACUAAACUAAACACUGCCUAUGCCUGAAUGUUUGUUCUCUUACUGAGUUCAUACGCAUUGGAUCCAAAAGACGUGCUGUCCUUAUAGGAGCCAUGAUGGUGCUGUGAAUGUGUGUCCUGGAGAGAUGCGCAGGCUGGGGCGUCUUAGCCGCGCGUUGUCGUCUGGUCCACUCCGUUGCUGGAAGGAUGUUCGCUUGUCCUUUUUCCGGGUGGAAAAGUUCGUUGCUGUUGUUCGAUGGUGAGCUUUGCAGGAGUAAACUGAUGUAGCGUUCCGCGUACACCAGUUUCCACUCGCUAUAGGCGACGAAGUUACCGCGAGGUAACUGGGUGUGUCCGUAGGCCUGGUAGUGCGCUGUGCAGCAUUCAGCCUCUGUCCGAGUCUCGGAGCAGAUGAGCUGAAGCGAAUGGCCAAAAAGGGUGCGUCGAAGAGAAGAAGCAGAAGAGGCAGAAAAAGCAGAAGAGAGACAGAAGAAAGAUCCCAAGAACGUGUCUUGCUCUUAUACGGGACCGUUUAUUGCUCCCGCCAUUACGGGAUUGGCUGAACCAAGUUAGACGUCAUUCGUGGUGGACGUCGCAGAAUUUUCCUGUGGGAAUGUGGAAGUUGUAGUCCCUACAACAUACAGGUAACAGGUGAGUGCUGUUACACAGAGUACAGUCACCCUGUCCACAUACAGGUAACAGGUGAGGGCUGACUGAUAUUCUUCUGUGUGUAAAACUUGCAAGGUCCCAUAAUGCAGUACGUAUUAUCCUGUUUGUUCCAUAACUGCCAACAUACUUUUCUGGCGUUCAUUAUUGAAUAUCUUUUCGAAAUAGUAUUCAUAAAAGAAUUCCAGCUGCCUUUGUCCCUCUGUGAGGGUGAUUUGUUUUCUCCACAGUCAUAAAUACACUGGUGUGAAAACUGCAUUCACUUACUGUAGCAGAUGCAUUACAGGACACUGCAUACACUUACUGUAGCAGAUGCAUUACAGUACACUGCAUACACUUACUGUAGCAGAUGCAUUACAGUACACUGCAUACACUUACUGUAGCAGAUGCAUUACAGUACACUUACUGUAGCAGAUGCUUAUGUUCAGAGUGACGUUCAGCACAGGAGCAAUGUAUAGCAGUAUGCAUCCCUCAUCUCUGUGUCUCCACAGGCAGAGUGAUGUGUGGUCUGGGUGCUGCUCCUCUCCUGCUGGCCACCAUUGUACUGUGUGUGAAAUGGUACAGGAGACCAGGGCCGUCUACUGAAACAGCUGUCCGCUACACUGGAGGGAAUGUGGAAAUUGCCAUAUAAAACACACAGAGGCUGGGUCCGUGUACUUAUGUGAAAUGAGAAUGAAGUCUGAGAGCUCAGGAUUCUUUUUUCAUCAUUGUGAUGUUUCUCAGCUUGCAGGAAAAUUGGGGGUGCAGUCAUGGGGGCAUUUUAGGGAAUGGGAACAGGAAGAUGUUGUGUCUUUAGAGCGCAGCAUCUGUACGAUAUAAGCAGAGUUUCUGAUUCACCUGGGCUGCACUUGUGAUCUUCCUGUAGUUAGUUUGCUUUGAUUGCUGUAUGUUUGUUCUAGGUUAGGUCACUGAACUUUAUGUUUGAUGCAGUAAAUUGACAUAAAUAGACUGAAAUUGAAUAUGUAUGUCACCAUGUGUCUGUAUGUAUUAAAUUGGAUAGAUGUUAAA